Molecule: non-coding RNA, 626 nt
Organism: Paramuricea clavata
Lineage: Eukaryota; Metazoa; Cnidaria; Anthozoa; Malacalcyonacea; Plexauridae
Source: the annotation of a GenBank genome assembly
GUUUAUGUUUUGUUCACGUGCAUGUGUCACCAGCUUUUCUCGACUAUGGCUUCUUUUCUGAGGUUUUUGCAUGCAGUUUGUUUCAUUCAAAUAUUAUAUUUCCAUUGUUCCUUGUGAUGUUCUCGUGUGCGUUUUUCCUACCUACUGUACAGUGUAUUUUAUAGGCCUGUUUGUAUUUAUGAAAGCAUAUUGUUAUUGAAUUUUUUCCCUUCACAUAUUUAAGCAUUCCUGAUGCAAAGAAGCAUCCAGAAUUGUACAGCAUAUGGGUUGAGUAUAUGAAUAAACAUGCUCCAGUGAAGUCUGUUCCUGCAAAAAGUAGUCGUUUGUGUUCAGAUCACUUUAGUGCUGAUAUGUAUGAGAUAAAGGGCAAAAUCCAGAAAUUAGUAUUGAGACCGGAUGCUAAUACCAACAAUAGCCUCAGGUCAUUGGUGCGAUUUAAAGUGUUAAAGUGUUAUAUGUAACAGUGUGCAUGAUUUACAUUCUUUGCUAGGCGACAAGUCAUUAUUAAUGCCGGGUAGGGGGCUGGAGGAAAUUUUUAUGAAUAGCAAAAAUUUUUCAUGACCCCUUAUUUUUCUAACAAACUAUUUUAUCCCCCCCCUUAUUCAGGCAACAUAUUUCAUAGCCCC